CAGUCGCCGCGGGAAAACGGAGGGGGCUAGCGUUGUUCGGAAUUACUUGGCGUAAAGCGCACGUAGGCGGCUUGGUAAGUUAGAGGUGAAAGCCUGGAGCUCAACUCCAGAAUUGCCUUUAAGACUGCCGAGCUAGUAGGUGAGAGAGGUAAGUGGAAUUCCGAGUGUAGAGGUGAAAUUCGUAGAUAUUCGGAAGAACACCAGUGGCGAAGGCGGCUUACUGGCUCAUUCUAGACGCUGAGGUGCGAAAGCGUGGGGAGCAAACAGGAUUAGAUACCCCCGUAGUCCCUGUCUCUUAUAC
This 301-nucleotide ribosomal RNA is filed under the name uncultured bacterium. RNAcentral describes it as "partial 16S ribosomal RNA". It matches the Rfam family "Bacterial small subunit ribosomal RNA", at positions 509 to 807 of the family's 1533-position model. The record is from RNAcentral.